CCUACGUGCGGCAGCAGUGGGGAAUAUUGCGCAAUGGGCGAAAGCCUGACGCAGCGACGCCGCGUGAAGGAUGAAGGUCUUCGGAUCGUAAACCUCUGUCAGCAAAGAAGAACGGUCACUGUGCUAAUCAUCAGUGAAUUGACUUUACCUGCAGAGGAAGCACCAGCUAACGCCGUGCCAGCAGCCGCGGUAAUACGGAGGGUGCGAGCGUUAAUCGGAAUGACUGGGCGUAAAGCGCUCGUAGGCGGUAUGUCAAGUCAAGGGUGAAAUCCCCGCGCUCAACGUGGGAACUGCCUUUGAAACUGGCAAACUGGAGUGGGUUAGAGGAUAGCGGAAUUCCAGGUGUAGGAGUGAACUCCGUAGAUAUCUGGAGGAACAUCAGUGGCGAAGGCGACUAUCUGAAACAUAACUGACGCUGAGGAGCGAAAGCGUGGGUAGCAAACAGGAUUAGAUACCCGAGUAGUC
This 465-nucleotide ribosomal RNA is filed under the name uncultured bacterium. RNAcentral describes it as "partial 16S ribosomal RNA". It matches the Rfam family "Bacterial small subunit ribosomal RNA", at positions 338 to 795 of the family's 1533-position model. The record is from RNAcentral.